UUUUUCCUGCAUUGGUUCAAGGGUGUUGAACUCGAGCUCAGGAAACUUGAAGGAGCAGUAGAAGCCAUCCAUGGUUAUCUAAUUUAUAUGAAGGAUAAGGAAGCAAGGAUGAGAGAAGUCAGUGAAAAAACAAAUAGCAGAGUUGCUUGGUAUAGCGUCAUGUCUCUUGGUAUCUGCGUUUUGGUUUCUUUAUUACAAGUGUGGCAUCUGAAGCGGUUUUUUCUGAAGAAGAAACUCAUAUAGAUGUUGCUUUCAUAUGAGACUUUCACAUCACAAUAUUUUUACUCAACUUUUGGAUAGUCUAGGAUGAAUUCUAUGUUGUAUAGCUUUUUGUUUGUUGAUACUUACUAUGUAUCAUUAGGGGUGCCCCUGCAAAGGGAUAUGUGGUGUUACAUUUCAAUUUUAUAUAGAUAUGCUGAUAUGCUUAAUUGAAGAGCUAGCUA
Molecule: non-coding RNA, 443 nt
Organism: Vigna umbellata (rice bean)
Lineage: Eukaryota; Viridiplantae; Streptophyta; Magnoliopsida; Fabales; Fabaceae
Source: RefSeq, a predicted model, not a curated record